Molecule: long non-coding RNA, 4227 nt
Filed under: Sus scrofa (pig)
Lineage: Eukaryota; Metazoa; Chordata; Mammalia; Artiodactyla; Suidae
Description: lncRNA (ENSSSCG00005041684.1)
Source: RNAcentral
UUUUUUUUUUAAUUUUUUUUAUUUUUUGGCAGUGACAACAUUGAAUCCUUAACCACAAGGUCACCAGGGAACCUCGAUACCCUGAAAAUUCUAACUGCACUCACUGUUCAGGCACAAAGUCAUGCUUGGAUGUGAGCAGGUGAUUGGACAGCUCACCAUACAGAGGUCUGACUUGUACCCCACUGAGCUGUGAGGAAACCAUGGAUCCUGGGGAAGGUCUGUGGGUGGAACUGUGUCCAGAGAAAACACAGCCUUUCCAAUAAUAAGAUCCACCAUCCUAAACACUUGAGGGAGGUGGCGGGCAUGAGAAAUAGAAGGCUUGUCGUUGCCCAAGCGCAGCAGCACAUGGGGAGCACACCUCUGAUACAGGCCACCAAGAGGUGACUGGAAUCCUGCUGUGACAACCUGCCUGCACAGUGUUUCCAAUAUACAUGCCACCUCAUCGACACCCACAAUAAUCCCCUGGGUGAGUUUUAGUACCAUCACUCCUGUUGUGCCAAUGAGCAAAAUACAGCUCAGAGGGGCUGUCACCUGACCCAGGUCCACCAACAUGCCCAGAUUCAAGGCCAAAGUCUACUUCACUCUAUAAGGUGUGCUCUUUUCACUAUAAACAAGGACAAAACUCCCACAGACAGACAUGGAAUUCUGGGUUCACCAGAUCCUUAGUCUGUCCCAAAAGGGCAAAUUCUGUCAUUAAUUGGCAUUUAUCAACUCCCUUUCUUUAUAUUAACGAGUGUUAUGAAAUAUGUUAUAGGAGUUCCUGUCGUGGCUCAGUGGUUAAUGAAUCUGACUAGCAUCCAUGAGGAUGCAGGUUCGAUCCCUAGCCGGGCACAGUGGGUUAAGGAUCUAGCAUUGCCACAGCUGUGGCAUAUGUCAUAACUGCGGCUUGGGUCUACUCCCUGGCCCGGGAACUCCAUAUGCCACCAGGCAGCCAAAAAAAGAAAAAAGAACUAAAGAUUUAAGCAGUUGUUUCAUAGAAGCUGAAACCUGAAUGAUCAAUUAGGUUCAACCCACUAAGAUGGUCAACCCACUAAUAAACAUGAAUGCAAAUCAAAACCAUGUGAAGUAUCACAGAACUUCCAUCAGAUUAGUAAAAAAUUUUAAAUUUGAUAAUACCAUUGUUUGGAGGAUAUGAAGCAAACAGAAUUGUCAGCUGAAGUGUGAACUGGGGAAACCACUUUGGAGCCAGUUUGGUAUUAUAUGGUGAAAGUGAAGAUGCAGACACCCUGUGAUUCAGGGAAGUAGCCUGGAGAGGCUAUAACCGGGGGCCCCAGGGGGGGUCACUGCAGCACUGUCUGUCUCAGCAAAACACUGGAAACGAAGCAAAGGUCCCCCAACAAUAGAAAGGAUAAAUAAAUGCUCGUACAAUGGAACACUAUUCAUCAGUGAAAAUGAAAUACACCUAUACACAACAUGGAUUACUCUCAAGAAUCUAUGUUAAGUAAGAAACUUAAAUCACUGAAAACAAAAUGAUUUGUGAAGCUCAAAAACAAACAAAAUUAAACAAUACAUUGUUUAGCAAUACAAACACAUGUGGUAAAACUAUAAUGAAAAGCAAGAGAAGGAUAAAAACCAAAUUCAGUGCUCACUUGGGGCAGGAAUGGGACAGGAUACGGGGAGGGCCGCUCCAAAGGUAACAGUAACAUUCAGUUUUAUAAAUUGGGUGACAGGUACAGGAGCCUUCCUUACAGCCUUAUCUUUGAUUCCACACAUAUUCUUUUGUAUCUACUCAGUAUUUAAGAAAACAAUUUACAAAAGUACACAAUGUUCCUUCUGACUUUAAACAAUGAAGCAUUAACCUGGACAGUUGACAGAGUUACAGUAAACCAGGAAAGUCCCUGACAGGGGCCCUCGAGGCCCUGAGACUACAGAAAUGAGAUGUGCUUCACCAACCUCGCUUCUGAGCUGCAGAGAGACAACUUCCCACUGGGCCCUGGAGCCUUCCAUUUAGGACAGGAAAGUUACUGCCGAGACUACCCGCCCGUGCAGGAAGCGGUGCGGGUGGGGUAGGGAGAACAGGUUCUACUUGCCUGUUUAAGACCAGAAGCUGAACAGACUUCUGACGUGACAAUGAACCCACCCAGCCUGUUUUCCGGUCCAGACCCUACUCUGGGCUGGAAUCGGCACCUCUGCAGACUGCCGUUUAGACAUGAGUGAACAACUCUCAAUUCUAACCAUGCCCUUUGCUUCCCCUCCCUUGAAGCUCAAGGCUCAACUCUCCAAUUUACCACAAGCGGGUCUGAGUCUAAAAGCCCAUGCCCUGGUUUUCUGUUUAUCUGUGACCACACUACUGAGGUCAACCUUAACUGGCCCUUGGACUCUAGAGGUACUGAUAUCCACGAGGACCUUAGGAGUGCCAGACUCCGAUGCCAGCACUCAGGCACACACAUCUGCAGCACAUGCUGAAAUCAGUCGGUGCUAAAAUGCUUACUCUUUAUGACUGCCACUACUCCAAUCAUUUAAAAACAGGGCCAGCAAAAGAAGGAGAGUACGGUCUCCACAAUAUGCUUUGUGGGGGAGUUCCCUUGUGGCUCAGUGGUUAAGGAUCCCAACUAGGAUACAUGAGGUUGCGGGUUCGAUCCCUGGCCUUGUUCAGUGGGUUAAGGAUCUGGCGUUGCCAUGAGCUGUGGUGUAGGCCGACAGCUGCGGCUCAGAUCUGGCAUUGCUGUGGCUAUGGUGUAGCUCCAAUUAGACCCCCUGGCCUGGGAACCUCUAUAUGGCUCAGGUGCGGUCCUAAAAAGCCAAAAAAAAAAAAAUGCUUUGUGGGUAAAAUGUAUUGGGAAUUUUUCGUUUCCUCUAAGGCUGGGAUCCCUCCCUUUUGUGGUGUCUGUCACCCUGCCAGACACCAUGUCUGCCAACCUCCGUGUCACCCACGCGGCACCAUCCUUGGGGGAAUUCCAGGACGGUAGAGAGUGGCCCACCGGAUCUUUUUUGGUGGCAAACUGUUAAACCUGAAGCCCUGCCCACAGAAGAUGCCCCAAAACGGAGGGCUCAGUAUAUGUGCAACAAAAUCAGGCCAUCAACUCUUAAAAAUGACGGCCCCCAUCUACACGUUCAGACGUGCAUUGGCGCAGAAGAGCCGCAAAGGACACACAGGUGCUGUUAGCAGUUAUCUGGGAGGGGCCCACGUCAGGUGAGGGAGGGUGACUUACUCUCCGCAGCACUUUCUCUAGAACCUUCUGACUUCUGCACCUCGUGCAUGUAUCCCUAUUUUUUUCUGCCUCCUGCAUAUUUUCUUUCCUGACCUUCUGAAGGGCCAUCCUCUCCUAAGACACACACAAUAACGUUAGUUACCAAUUAAGGAAUCAAGGAGUUGGCUAAGCAUUUUCUGGGUUACCUCAUUAACAAUUCCACCCAGUAAAGUUAGUGUGAGGCAUCAUUACCCCCAGGAAAUGGAGGUGCAGAGAGAUCAAGCACUUUGCCCAAAGGUACACGGCUAGUAAGUACAGAACCAAGGUGGUCCUCUCUUCCGACAACAGCAAGCCAAACCCUCAUCACGCUGGAGGACCUCCAGCCUGAUCAUCCAUUCAUCCAACAACAUUUACUGAGCACCAGCUACGUGCCAGAAAGUGACCCACAUGGUGAGAAUACCAGGAGAAACAAGACCUGUCCCCAAUGGUGGCACCACAGGGAGACAGGCAAGGAGAACCAUGACCAUCACAGGGGGGAAGCAUGAAUUGUGAGACCUGUGCAAGAUGCUAAGAAAUCACAGGGAGGGGCUCCAAACUCAGCUGUGGUGGCAGAGGGCUGGGCAGGGCUGGCAAAAGGCUUCCCAGAAGCAUCCGAGAUUGAAGGAAUUAAAAAGGCAGAGAGAAUCCUUCCCUUCCCAAAGGACCCCUAGGCACAAUUCUAUGAAGUAGAUACUGUUACCCCUAUUUUACAGAUGAGGAAACUGAGGUGUAGCAAUGAAGUAACUGGCCCUCAGGACAAAGAGCCACUAACCAGGGAAGAAGACAUUCAUACCUGACUCCAGAGUCUCUGCAGCCUCUAUCCAAAGGGAGCUUUACGGUUACCAAUCCAAAACAUGUCAUGUAGGAGUUCCCGUCGUGGCUCAGCAAUUAACGAACCCGACUAGUAUCCAUGAAGAUUCAGGUUCAAUCCCUGGCCUUGUUCAGUGGGUUAUGGAUCCAGCGUGGUUGUGGCUGUGGCUCCAACUGGCCCCCUAGCCUGGAAACCUUCAUUUGCUGUGGGUGUGGCCCUUAAAAAAAAAAAAAAAAAAAAAAAAAG